UACGAAGGGGACUAGCGUUGUUCGGAAUCACUGGGCGUAAAGCGCACGUAGGCGGAUGUGUCAGUCAGGGGUGAAAUCCCGGGGCUCAACCUCGGAACUGCCUUUGAUACAGCACGUCUCGAGUCCGGAAGAGGUGGGUGGAAUUCCUAGUGUAGAGGUGAAAUUCGUAGAUAUUAGGAGGAACACCGGUGGCGAAGGCGGCCUUCUGGACGGAUACUGACGCUGAGACGCGAAAGCGUGGGGAGCAAACAGG
This 253-nucleotide ribosomal RNA is filed under the name uncultured bacterium. RNAcentral's name for it is "partial 16S ribosomal RNA". It matches the Rfam family "Bacterial small subunit ribosomal RNA", at positions 524 to 776 of the family's 1533-position model. The record is from RNAcentral.